This 361-nucleotide ribosomal RNA is filed under the name uncultured bacterium. RNAcentral's name for it is "bacterial SSU rRNA". It matches the Rfam family "Bacterial small subunit ribosomal RNA", at positions 28 to 387 of the family's 1533-position model. The record is from RNAcentral.
GAUGAACGCUAGCGGCAGGCCUAACACAUGCAAGUCGAGGGGUAGAGUUCUUCGGGACUUGAGACCGGCGCACGGGUGCGUAACGCGUAUGCAAUCUACCUUAUACAGGGGAAUAGCCCCAGAGAAAUUUGGAUUAAUGCCCCAUAGUGUUAUCGAAUCGCAUGGUUUGAUAACUAAAGUUCCAACGGUAUAAGAUGAGCAUGCGUCCCAUUAGUUAGUUGGUAAGGUAACGGCUUACCAAGACAAUGAUGGGUAGGGGUCCGUGAGAGGGAGGAUCCCCACCACUGGUACUGAGACACGGACCAGACUCCUACGGGAGGGCGAGCAGUGAGGAAUAUUGGUACGAAUAGGGUCGGCCGAA